UUGAUUAAUCUUAUUUUUGGUCUCCGCGGCAGAGCCUCUGUGCUUGCGCACGCUCUACCGCACAGUGUCAUCGGGCUUACACUACCUCCGAUCGACGCGAACACCU
Molecule: small nuclear RNA, 106 nt
Filed under: Aspergillus ustus
Lineage: Eukaryota; Fungi; Ascomycota; Eurotiomycetes; Eurotiales; Aspergillaceae
Description: U2 spliceosomal RNA
Rfam family: U2 spliceosomal RNA
About the family: U2 is a small nuclear RNA (snRNA) component of the spliceosome (involved in pre-mRNA splicing). Complementary binding between U2 snRNA (in an area lying towards the 5' end but 3' to hairpin I) and the branchpoint sequence (BPS) of the intron results the bulging out of an unpaired adenosine, on the BPS, which initiates a nucleophilic attack at the intronic 5' splice site, thus starting the first of two transesterification reactions that mediate splicing.
Source: Rfam by way of RNAcentral